GGCGGUGUUUUAGACCUCUCAGGGGAACCUGUCUCGUAAUCGACAAUCCGCGUUAAACCUAACCCUUUAUAGCAAUUCAGCCUGUAUACCGUCGUCGCCAGGUAACUUCUUAAAAUAUAGUAGUUAGCUUGAAAAUUAUAUUAAUUAAAACGUCAGAUCAAGGUGCAGCUAAUAAAAGGGAGAGGAUGGGUUACAAUUACAUAUUUGUAAUUACGGCAAAAUGCUUGAAACAAAGUGUUUAUGAAGGAGGACUU
Molecule: ribosomal RNA, 254 nt
Filed under: Conus plinthis
Lineage: Eukaryota; Metazoa; Mollusca; Gastropoda; Neogastropoda; Conidae
Description: partial 12S ribosomal RNA
Source: RNAcentral